Molecule: ribosomal RNA, 468 nt
Filed under: uncultured bacterium
Lineage: Bacteria
Description: partial 16S ribosomal RNA
Rfam family: Bacterial small subunit ribosomal RNA
Source: RNAcentral
GACGGACGCUGGCGGCGUGCUUAACACAUGCAAGUCGAACGGAAAGGCCCUGCUUUUGUGGGGUGCUCGAGUGGCGAACGGGUGAGUAACACGUGAGUAACCUGCCCUUGACCUUGGGAUAACUUCAGGAAACUGGGGCUAAUACCGGAUAGGAGCUCCUGCUGCAUGGUGGGGGUUGGAAAGUUUCGGCGGUUGGGGAUGGACUCGCGGCUUAUCAGCUUGUUGGUGGGGUAGUGGCUUACCAAGGCUUUGACGGGUAGCCGGCCUGAGAGGGUGACCGGCCACAUUGGGACUGAGAUACGGCCCAGACUCCUACGGGAGGCAGCAGUGGGGAAUAUUGCACAAUGGGCGGAAGCCUGAUGCAGCAACGCCGCGUGCGGGAUGACGGCCUUCGGGUUGUAAACCGCAUUCGCCUGUGACGAAGCGUGAGUGACGGUAAUGGGUAAAGAAGCACCGGCUAACUACGUG